RNAcentral lists this ribosomal RNA (612 nucleotides) under uncultured bacterium. RNAcentral's name for it is "bacterial SSU rRNA". It matches the Rfam family "Bacterial small subunit ribosomal RNA", at positions 62 to 676 of the family's 1533-position model. The record is from RNAcentral.
UCGAGCGAAGCGCGCCCCGGAAUCCUUCGGGAGGAAGGGUCGCGACUGAGCGGCGGACGGGUGAGUAACGCGUGGGCAACCUGCCCCAUACAGGGGGACAACGGCCGGAAACGGCCGCUAAUACCGCAUGAUUCCUCUUGGCCGCAUGGCCGGGAGGGGAAAGCCGAGACGGUAUGGGAUGGACCCGCGUCUGAUUAGCUGGUUGGCGAGGUAACGGCUCACCAAGGCGACGAUCAGUAGCCGGCCUGAGAGGGCGACCGGCCACAUUGGGACUGAGACACGGCCCAAACUCCUACGGGAGGCAGCAGUGGGGAAUAUUGCACAAUGGGGGAAACCCUGAUGCAGCGACGCCGCGUGAAGGACGAAGUAUUUCGGUACGUAAACUUCUAUCAGCAGGGAAGAAAAUAACGGUACCUGACCAAGAAGCCCCGGCUAACUACGUGCCAGCAGCCGCGGUAAUACGUAGGGGGCAAGCGUUAUCCGGAUUUACUGGGUGUAAAGGGAGCGUAGACGGCCAUGCAAGUCUGAUGUGAAAACCCGGGGCUCAACCCCGGGACUGCAUUGGAAACUGUGCGGCUGGAGUGUCGGAGAGGCAAGUGGAAUUCCUAGUGU